Tachysurus fulvidraco (yellow catfish) is the source of this 1633-nucleotide long non-coding RNA. RefSeq lists it as uncharacterized. The record is from RefSeq and is a predicted model, not a curated record. Lineage: Eukaryota; Metazoa; Chordata; Actinopteri; Siluriformes; Bagridae. The transcript has 2 exons.
AUACAUACAGUCUUUCACACGCACAUGAUUCAUUCAGUGGCCUUAAGCAACAACACACUCGUCCCAAACCCUCCACCAAACAGCCGCACUAAUCAUAUUGUUUUCUAUAAAAGAAUGAAUAGCAUGAACACUUAAUUAUCUCAAAUGACUCAAACAGAUCUUACUGGCAAAUUGUAUACUGAAUCCAACCAACAUUUAAAAAAAAAUAAAAAUAAAACCCAGGGUAAUCUCCUUAACCCUGAGUUCUUUAAAUGACGUCAAGUCAUCAUACUGUAGCUGCUUGCAGCAUGAGCAAUAUGAGCAAUGAGAGAACUUUCUUCAACUUCAGAUAGCAAGUAGUAACAAGCUAGCAACGUAUCACAUGCUAGCCUAAAAUCUUUCAUGCUAUGUACUAGCUAGCAAGCUAGACACUAAAUAUUUUCCAUUUUAAUUACAAGAGAAAGCAACAACAGACUGAAUCCAAUUCAUCAGCAUUUGAUUUUCUUACCAGUGUUAUAGGUCUUUCUCUUAAAAUUUCUUAACAAGUUUUUAACAAAUACUAGUAGUGUGCUUGUCUAUUUUAAAAACCUUGAAGCCCUCUGGUGGGCUGGAGGCCCUACAUGACUACUUAUAUGACUCUUUAUAGGAGCACACAAAUAGGGUUUUUAUCAGAGAAUAUGGCAACUUUUAUACCCUCCCUAAAAUGUAAUUCACUGAUAAGAUUAUCCACCCACUUUCUGUAAAGCUUACUGAAGCCUAUCCCAGAGGACUCCGGAAAGCAGGCAAGGGACGGACGACACUGAAUGGGAUGUCUUUACAACACAGUGCACAGUCACACACAUUCUCACGGACAAUUUAGAGAUGUCAAUCUACCUACAACACGUGUUUUAUCACUGGGGAAGAAACCGUGAGUAUGUGAAGGAAUCUCCGUCGAUACCACAAUCCCAGAGCUGCAAGUAGUGAGGAGCCGGCAUAAUUGGAAUAUUGGGACAUUUGGGACAUUAUAAAUGUUGGACAGUGGUGGUUCAUGCCGUUAAAGCUCUGGGUCGUUGUUCAGAGGAUCGAGGUUCAAGCCCCAGCACUGCCACUGUCGGGCCCUUGAGUGAGGCCCUUAAUCCUCUCUGCUCCAGGGGUGCUGUAUCAUCUCUGACUCCAACAUCCAGUCUACAUACACUGUGCUGUAAUGUAUAUGUGACAAAAAUAAAAGCUUCUAUCUAUCUUAAACGCACAUGCAACUAUGACUUCUUUACUUUUUUAUGGUCUGAAAGAAAGAAUAAAAAGAAAAGAAACAUAGGAGUACUUUCAUAGUUUAUUUUUAAAUGUACAUUUUGAAACACUACACAAACUGUAUAGUUUUUAGUAUGUACAUGUACUUCAGUUUGCAGGAUUGUGAAUAAGCACAGGAAAUGUUAUACCCUUGCCUUAUUGCCUGUUAUAAUACGACAUAGUACAGUACUGCUUGAACGAGGCCUGCAGACUGAAAAGCAGCAAAUGACUGACAUCAAUAAAAAAUACAUGUCUGUUCUUGACCUUGUUUAUUCUAGCCUUGAGUAUUAUCUGUCCGGUGUUGAUUGUAUCCAUUGCUGAUGUAUAUUUAAAUGUACAGGUUUUUAUUUUAUAACAGUUGACCCAUGCAAUGUUACAGUUAUACCAG